RNAcentral lists this non-coding RNA (29 nucleotides) under Homo sapiens (human). Lineage: Eukaryota; Metazoa; Chordata; Mammalia; Primates; Hominidae. The record is from RNAcentral.
AGACAGGGGUACUGGUGCAAGCAACUUGA